GUUUUGUUCGCUUUUUACAGAUUUUAUGCAAAAAAGUGUACGUAUCAUUGCAGUGCCACUGUUCCUUGGUUUGUUGUUUAUCGUUGUCUCCAUCUUUUAUUCUUAUUCAGAUUUUGGGAACAGUGUGCUGUCGGAUAGUUUAAUUUUCUGCAAUUCAGGAAGCAGCUUUUUGGACAACCUCCACAGCUAAUCAUCACUAGGCUAACAACUUCUCAGCAACUAAUGUCACUUUUGGUAGACAUCGACAUCUCUUUUUGGUACCCAAAUGAAGCAACGAUUGUAACUAGGUUAGCCUAGGACAAUAUAUUUUUGAUAAGCUGUUUUAACAGCAGUUGUAAUAUAUAUUUGAACAUUACCCGAACAUUUAUAUUAAUGGUAAUGUUAGUCAAGCAAGAUCUAUGUUAGUUUCGAACUAAAUUCUCUGUCCUUUAAGACUUGCACAUUUUCUUCCAAAAU
Rosa rugosa (rugosa rose) is the source of this 456-nucleotide long non-coding RNA. RefSeq lists it as uncharacterized. NCBI's taxonomy places the organism in Eukaryota, Viridiplantae, Streptophyta, Magnoliopsida, Rosales, Rosaceae. The record is from RefSeq and is a predicted model, not a curated record. The transcript has 3 exons.